GAUUAACGCGAAGAACCUUACCUACCCUUGACAUGUCCGGAAGGCUGCUGAAAGGCGGCUGUGCCCGAAAGGGAACUGGAACACAGGUGCUGCAUGGCUGUCGUCAGCUCGUGUCGUGAGAUGUUGGGUUAAGUCCCGCAACGAGCGCAACCCUUGUCAUUAGUUGCUACAUUCAGUUGGGCACUCUAAUGAGACUGCCGGUGACAAACCGGAGGAAGGUGGGGAUGACGUCAAGUCCUCAUGGCCCUUAUGGGUAGGGCUUCACACGUAAUACAAUGGCGCGUACAGAGGGCCUGCUAAGCCGCGAGGUAGAGCCAAUCCCUUAAAGCGCGUCGUAGUCCGGAUUGCAGUCUGCAACUCGACUGCAUGAAGUCGGAAUCGCUAGUAAUCGCGGAUCAGCAUGUCGCGGUGAAUACGUUCCCGGGCCUUGUACACACCGAAUC
RNAcentral lists this ribosomal RNA (443 nucleotides) under uncultured bacterium. RNAcentral's name for it is "bacterial SSU rRNA". It matches the Rfam family "Bacterial small subunit ribosomal RNA", at positions 954 to 1396 of the family's 1533-position model. The record is from RNAcentral.